GGGUGUUGGCUGGUUCUUCGUGCACCAGGAACUCGCACUGUUUCCACCUGCCAUCCAUGCAACAGCACAAGAUAUUACGCUGUUCCUCCUUCUCCACCUCCACCUCUUACUCUUGAAUUUGUGAUCAUUCGCACGUUGCCGUCGAACCAUUAACCGACCAACUUCAAGGCGCGUGCAGAUUGUUGUGAUUUUAAAACCCGACUAAUUGGACUCGGAAUGGGCAAUUAAAUAGCCGUUGCCAACUGACAGACGUUGUAGCUUUACCACUCCGAUUCAUGAAUAGUUAUUCCGCAUAUUGUUAAACCCCACUGAAUGCGGAUUGUCCGGAGCAGUUUUAUACUCUGUCAAACAGUCCUGUCGAACGUACACGCGAGGCAACAGUAAUAAGGGCUGAGAGAAAAUUAGCGCAUAAUUGAACUAGCUAAGUGAACGGACGGACCUACCUAAUUGACAAUUAAACCUGCACCGGCUCGAGGGGGAAAAGAAGGAGGAGUGAUAUGUUGCGUCUAUUGUGAGCCAGACUUUCGACAUCGGCACAGCCGAUGAAACUGCAAUGUCCAGUUCACAAUCGGAGAUACACCGGAUACGUACGCACGUCUGUAUGAUCCCUGUCCUUUUUAUCAGGACGCCGAAGAAAGGAGGAAUGAACGAAUCAAUCAACGAGACGGAACACCGACGCUCUUUCGGUACCGAAGAAGCUUUGCGCCUUUUCGGAAUAACGCAUCUCGCAAUCGGAGAUGCAUCACGCGUGCUUUUGCAUGAUGUGGCCUCAUAUGCAAAUUAUCAUCAACGACAUACCCAAAGUCGGCCUACUCAAAGCGAACCUGUCGAGGAGAGUUGAUGAAGAGGAGGAGGUAUAGAGAAAGAGAGUAACGGGCGUGUGUGAG
This is a long non-coding RNA of Neodiprion fabricii, 887 nucleotides long. RefSeq lists it as uncharacterized. The record is from RefSeq and is a predicted model, not a curated record. The transcript has 3 exons. NCBI's taxonomy places the organism in Eukaryota, Metazoa, Arthropoda, Insecta, Hymenoptera, Diprionidae.